RNAcentral lists this unclassified non-coding RNA (242 nucleotides) under uncultured fungus. Its description in RNAcentral is "sequence contains ITS1, 5.8S rRNA gene". The stretch from base 194 to 242 matches the Rfam family "5.8S ribosomal RNA", at positions 1 to 49 of the family's 154-position model. The record is from RNAcentral. Lineage: Eukaryota; Fungi.
UCUCCGUUGGUGAACCAGCGGAGGGAUCAUUAUAGAGUGUAAAAACUCCCAAACCCUUUGUGAACAUACCACUGUUGCCUCGGCGGAGCUGUCGGGGGAAGCGCUACCCUGUAGCGCCUACCCUGCAGCCGCCGGCGGACCACUAAAAAUUCUGAUUACAUGAGACAUCUGAGCGUACUUUUAAAUAAGUCAAAACUUUCAACAACGGAUCUCUUGGUUCUGGCAUCGAUGAAGAACGCAGC